This 29-nucleotide non-coding RNA is filed under the name Homo sapiens (human). Lineage: Eukaryota; Metazoa; Chordata; Mammalia; Primates; Hominidae. The record is from RNAcentral.
UCCCCAAGAAGAUCAGGACUGCUGAAAGA